Molecule: long non-coding RNA, 1533 nt
Filed under: Heterocephalus glaber (naked mole-rat)
Lineage: Eukaryota; Metazoa; Chordata; Mammalia; Rodentia; Bathyergidae
Description: lncRNA (ENSHGLG00100038185.1)
Source: RNAcentral
GUUUUCUUUUUCUCCUCCCCUUUCCCAGCUCUGCCGCUUGGGCCCAGGGACAGGCCCUGCUCCAGCUUUCCCAGGCCAGAAGGUCCCUCCCAUCCUCCUCGCCGUCUCUUCUGUUGUUAUUUUUUGAGACAGGGUCUCGCUGUGUAGUCCGGGCUGGCCUUGAGCUCACUAUGUAGCCCAGGCUGGCCUCCAACUGGGGCGAUCCUGCUGCCUCGGCCUCCGGGUGCUGGAUGACAGGCGUGGGCUAACGAGCCUCCCCACGAUUCUCCAAGGCCACAGCCCGAGAGGCCGCCGCCCAUUGACGGAACCCCAGUGAACCGGGCGGGUCCCCUCCUCGCAGCAGGGCAGGGUGGGAGGCGCGGCGUUUCCUUGCAUCCCCGGGGCAGGGCUCAGCCUCCGCAGGCGCCAGGUCCCCAGCCCAGCCUCGUCCUCCCGACCUUGGGAGGCUCGUGGGUGCGGUUUCCAGAGCCCAGUGACUUCGGGGUAGGCCCUGCCUCCACCCUACCGCGACACGAACACCGGCCCCCAGGGGCAGAAAAGGAGGUGCCACCUGACCCAGCUUCCCACAGCGGGACCAGACGGCUGGGUGUACAAGGCCCCGGGGCCGCCCUCUGCUCCCCAGGAACAGAAACACUGACAAAAGCCCACCUGGAGUUCCAACAACCUGGGAGGAUGAAACAGGAGAAUCUGUGAACCCAGGAGUUGCAGACCAGCCUGGGCCAGAGAGAGACCUGGUCUCAAAAUCAGAAACCAGCCACCACCAAAAGAAGCCGCCCCUAGGCUGAGCAGACACCUGUCUCCCCUCCGAAUGCACGACACCCCAAGGUAGGCCGGACUGGAGGGAGAGACAGUCACCGAGGCGGAGAAAACCUCCCAGAAACCCAACUUGAAAAGGAGAGAAUAGAAAACAGAUGAAAGAAAAAUCUAUGAAAUCCAGGCUUCUACUGCUUGCCAUCUAAAGCAAAUGAAAACUUAGGUCAAGCCAGGAGCGAUCAUGCACACCUGUACUCACUGCCACUUGGGAGGCUGAGGCAGGAGCAUGACACCUUUGAGCCCAGCCUGGGCAACUCAGCAAGGCCCCACCCCCAGGGCUGGCUCAGCCCGCAAGCACAGGCUUCUGCAUCCUGAGCGGGCUCUCCCUGGACAGAGCAGAAUCAGGAGUCAACCCUGCCUGGGUGAACCUGACUCAAAGGGGUGCCGUCUUGGACAGGGUUUGGCAUUUCUGGACCACAACAUGUGAAGUAGGAAGAGCGACUCCUCGUUACCGUUUUUAAAAAAGUUGCAUGGUUGGUUAGAAUUCUGCAUAAAACUCUAUAGUACACUCAGAGUCCCAAGGGCAACGAGAUGACAAUGGAUCGGGCCCUAAACACCCUUAAUAGAACCCAUGCAAUUCAAAUGGCCAUUCAUCAAAUAAAAUAUUAAGCACCUACUGGUUUGAGAUUGAAAUCAGAUUCAUGAUCAGUUUCCUUCCACGUUGAAGUCAAGGUAUAAAACCAGCUGUGUAAGUGCAUUCCAAACUUCCCCUAUGUAACG